RNAcentral lists this long non-coding RNA (257 nucleotides) under Helianthus annuus (common sunflower). RNAcentral's name for it is "hypothetical non coding rna". Lineage: Eukaryota; Viridiplantae; Streptophyta; Magnoliopsida; Asterales; Asteraceae. The record is from RNAcentral.
GUCAGCAAUUCCUUGACUACGUGAAUGAGAAACUUGCUGAGAUUGAAACUUAUCUUGGCAAUGUUGAGGACCAGGAGAGCCAGAUUGCUGACCUUCAACAAAUGGGCGUGCUUAAGGAUCUCAAGAUAGGAGAUCUUGAGAAGGAACUCCGGGUCAUGAAGGCUGAGGCUGCUCAGAGGUUGAUUGAUAUGGAUAACGAGAAGCAGGAGAUCACCCAAGAUGCCAAGGUCUCGGCGGCGAUUGCUAUGUACAAGAUA